UGGGGAAUAUUGCACAAUGGGGGAAACCCUGAUGCAGCGACGCCGCGUGAAGGAAGAAGUAUUUCGGUAUGUAAACUUCUAUCAGCAGGGAAGAAAAUGACGGUACCUGAGUAAGAAGCACCGGCUAAAUACGUGCCAGCAGCCGCGGUAAUACGUAUGGUGCAAGCGUUAUCCGGAUUUACUGGGUGUAAAGGGAGCGUAGACGGAUAGGCAAGUCUGGAGUGAAAGCCCGGGGCUCAACCCCGGGACUGCUUUGGAAACUGUGGAUCUGGAGUGCCGGAGAGGUAAGCGGAAUUCCUAGUGUAGCGGUGAAAUGCGUAGAUAUUAGGAGGAACACCAGUGGCGAAGGCGGCUUACUGGACGGUAACUGACGUUGAGGCUCGAAAGCGUGGGGAGCAAACAGGAUUAGAUACC
This 414-nucleotide ribosomal RNA is filed under the name uncultured bacterium. RNAcentral's name for it is "bacterial SSU rRNA". It matches the Rfam family "Bacterial small subunit ribosomal RNA", at positions 355 to 786 of the family's 1533-position model. The record is from RNAcentral.